Molecule: unclassified non-coding RNA, 374 nt
Filed under: soil metagenome
Description: partial contains internal transcribed spacer 2 and large subunit ribosomal RNA
Rfam family: 5.8S ribosomal RNA (bases 1-120)
Source: RNAcentral
GAUGAAGAACGUAGCGAAAUGCGAUAAUUAAUGUGAAUUGCAGAAUUCCGUGAAUCAUCGAGUCUUUGAACGCACAUUGCGCCUCAUGGCAUUCCGUGAGGCAUGCCCAUCUCAGCGUUAGAAAAUAUUCUCAAAUUUUAGUUUUGUGCUAAAAUUUGGAUCAUGUCAAGGAAGCUAUUACUAUUAAUGUGAUCGCUCUUUGGAAAUUGAUAGGUCUUUGAGUUGCUACUCAUAGAACGUGAUGAAUCUUUCUUCGUUCUAUUGUAAUUCACUCUGGUAGUCCUAAAACUUGUAUGCCUGUGGCAUAUCUUGUAAUUUGACCUGAGAUUGGGUAGGGAUACCCGCUGAACUUAAGCAUAUCAAUAAGCGGAGGA